RNAcentral lists this ribosomal RNA (469 nucleotides) under uncultured bacterium. RNAcentral's name for it is "partial 16S ribosomal RNA". It matches the Rfam family "Bacterial small subunit ribosomal RNA", at positions 28 to 507 of the family's 1533-position model. The record is from RNAcentral.
GACGAACGCUGGCGGCGUGCUUAACACAUGCAAGUCGAACGAUGAUCUCCCGCUUUCGUGGGUGUUUAGUGGCGAACUGGUGAGUAAUACGUGAGUAACCUGCCCUUGACUCUGUGAUAAGCCUGGGAAACCGGGUCUAAUACUGGAUACUACUUCCUGCCUCAUGGUGGGUGGUGGAAAGGGUUUUACUGGUUUUGGAUGGGCUCACGGCCUAUCAGCUUGUUGGUGGAGUAAUGGCUCACCAAGGCUACGACGGGUAGCCGGACUGAGAGGGUGACAGGCGACACUGGGAGUGAGAGACGGACCAGACUCCUACGGGAGGCAGCAGUGGGGAAUAUUGCACAAUGGGCGGAAGACUGAUGACGCGACGCCGCGUGAGGGAGGACGGAAUUUGGGUUGUAAACCUCUUUCAGCAGGGAAGAAGCGAAAAGUGACGGUACCUGCAGAAGAAGCGACGGCUAACUACGUG